RNAcentral lists this ribosomal RNA (276 nucleotides) under uncultured prokaryote. RNAcentral's name for it is "partial 16S ribosomal RNA". It matches the Rfam family "Bacterial small subunit ribosomal RNA", at positions 524 to 801 of the family's 1533-position model. The record is from RNAcentral.
UACGUAGGGGCUAGCGUUAUCCGGAAUUACUGGGCGUAAAGGGUGCGUAGGUGGUUUCUUAAGUCAGAGGUGAAAGGCUACGGCUCAACCGUAGUAAGCCUUUGAAACUGGGAAACUUGAGUGCAGGAGAGGAGAGUGGAAUUCCUAGUGUAGCGGUGAAAUGCGUAGAUAUUAGGAGGAACACCAGUUGCGAAGGCGGCUCUCUGGACUGUAGCUGACACUGAGGCACGAAAGCGUGGGGAGCAAACAGGAUUAGAUACCCGUGUAGUCCCUGAG